This 517-nucleotide long non-coding RNA is filed under the name Hordeum vulgare. RNAcentral describes it as "long non-coding RNA (HVUL_LNC004510)". The record is from RNAcentral. Lineage: Eukaryota; Viridiplantae; Streptophyta; Magnoliopsida; Poales; Poaceae.
GUGUAAUUAUAAAUAGGUUACUUAUACAGUGAUUAUAUAGCUCAUUCCAAAGGCUUUUGUGAGGUGGGACAUAACAUAAAUGAAGAAAUCUAACUUUAAUAUGGACCCUUGAUCAAUAGAAACAUAACUCCAAUAUGGAAUCAGUCAGUCUAAUAUUUCUAGUCUCACACUGCAACUAACACUUUAGAAGGGGUGUAUGCAAACAGUGAAACAAAGAGAAGAUGGAGUCGUUCCAAACAGCAACAGAAGCAGACAGGUCUUGGCCAGGACGAGCUCGCAGCAUUAUCUCUAGAGGCGCGGAUGGAGCACUUGGCCAGGACUCCCUAUAAGUGAAGCAGGACUGCAUUUGAAAAAAACAAGAAGUACCUUUGCACCAAGAGCAAGAAAUUGGCGCAGACAGGCGGCUGUAUCUAACUCAGCGCAUUUCAGAGCAACCUGCAAAACUGACUUGUGUAGCAUGUAGUGCGAUACACUUGAACAUCUGGAAUCAUCCCAAGAUACCUAAAAUGCCAUUAAG